RNAcentral lists this ribosomal RNA (251 nucleotides) under uncultured bacterium. RNAcentral describes it as "partial 16S ribosomal RNA". It matches the Rfam family "Bacterial small subunit ribosomal RNA", at positions 57 to 305 of the family's 1533-position model. The record is from RNAcentral.
GCAAGUCGAGGGGUAACAGGGUUGCUUGCAAUCGCUGACGACCGGCGCACGGGUGCGUAACGCGUAUGAAACCUACCUUUUACAGGGGGAUAGCCCAGAGAAAUUUGGAUUAAUACCCCAUAGUUCCUAGAUAUCGCAUGAUAUUAAGGAUAAAGCUUCGGCGGUAAGAGAUGGUCAUGCGUGACAUUAGCUAGUUGGUAAGGUAAUAGCUUACCAAGGCGACGAUGUCUAGGGGUUCUGAGAGGGUGAUC